GCCUCCGUAGCUCAGUGGAUAGAGCGCCGGACUUCUAAUCCGUUGGUCGCAGGUUCGAGUCCUGCCGGGGGCG
This 73-nucleotide transfer RNA is filed under the name Mycobacteriales bacterium. RNAcentral describes it as "tRNA-Arg". It matches the Rfam family "tRNA". From Rfam's summary of the family: Transfer RNA (tRNA) molecules are approximately 80 nucleotides in length. Their secondary structure includes four short double-helical elements and three loops (D, anti-codon, and T loops). Lineage: Bacteria; Bacillati; Actinomycetota; Actinomycetes; Mycobacteriales. The record is from RNAcentral.